AAAAAUUAAAACCCCUAAAACUAUUAUGCCUCUCUCCCUCCCCACGACCCAUUCUUCCUCCUCCCCACGAUCCCUUCUUCUUCCUCGGCACCGGCAAGCUUCGAAGGCAGCUCCUAAGUGCGAAGACCUUCAAGCCACAGCGACGGAGCAUGGGGCUGCUGCAAGGUCGGCGGAGAGCUAGAGAGCAGAGGUCAUGGACGACGAUCUCCAAGCUUCGAUGGUGGCUCUUGGGCGACAAGCUCUGAGCGCCUCUGCAAAGGUUCAAAUUCUUAUCAUGAAUCUCUACUCAUAAUCAUUCAAUGAAUCUGAAUUAGAUGAUUCAAUCUUCAACUACCAUCUUGUGUUGAUAACAAAAUUCAUUAUCAAACCUCUAGUCAUCAUAGUUUAUUGAGGAAAAAGCAAGGGUUUGGUGGUUCAGCCAUGAGUUAGAGAGCUCUGGGGGCGAGGUGCACAUUGUCAGCUGUUCGGCCGCCACGGUCGAGGGUUUGUACAGAGACGAAAACCUAAAAUGUAAUUUUUCCAUUAGAGUGGCCAUGGUUAUUUAUAACUUUCAGAAUUUUUGUAAACAUGUCUUUUAAACCCUAUUUUGGGAUCCCAUGUACUAAACCUUCAUUUUAUAUGAAAAAUUAUCUGUUUAUAACUAAAACCUUUUAAUCUUUACCUAAUUACGACUUUAGGACCAUGUUUUCAACUUUAUGACUUGAUUAGCAAGUCUUGCACCUUCAUAAACAUACAGUGUAACGGUUCUGG
Long non-coding RNA from Humulus lupulus (European hop), 750 nucleotides. RefSeq lists it as uncharacterized. The transcript has 3 exons. NCBI's taxonomy places the organism in Eukaryota, Viridiplantae, Streptophyta, Magnoliopsida, Rosales, Cannabaceae. The record is from RefSeq and is a predicted model, not a curated record.